CCGGCCUUUAUGUCUCUCGGUGCCCGGCCGAUUUAUCGGCGGGAGAAUCGGGAAGGCGGUGCAAAUCCGCCGCGUGCCCAACGCUGUAAGGAGGACGGGCGAUGCGAAAAGCCACUGGUCAGGGAAAACCCGGCCGGGAAGGCGCAUCGGCCGGGUGAAUCCGAGUCAGAAGACCGGCCGGGAGACGAAACCGGGC
RNAcentral lists this non-coding RNA (196 nucleotides) under Dechloromonas aromatica RCB. Lineage: Bacteria; Pseudomonadati; Pseudomonadota; Betaproteobacteria; Rhodocyclales; Azonexaceae. RNAcentral also lists the same sequence under 1 other name. The record is from RNAcentral.